This is an RNA transcript of Solanum verrucosum, 1097 nucleotides long. RefSeq lists it as uncharacterized. The transcript is spliced from 6 exons. The record is from RefSeq and is a predicted model, not a curated record. NCBI's taxonomy places the organism in Eukaryota, Viridiplantae, Streptophyta, Magnoliopsida, Solanales, Solanaceae.
AUAAGAACCAUUAUACCCACCUUUGAUCGGAUCAUACCCUGAAAUUAGGCGCAGCAAUGGCAGACUCGCUCAUUGAAUUGAAUGAACUUCUCAUCUCCAGAAAGGUUAAUUUGACAACUGAAGAAAGUAAACUACUAAAUUCAUGGAAGCAAUCUGCUGUAAGAGAUUUUGGCAUUGGUGCAAUUGGUGCUUCCCUUGCCACUUGGUUAGUUACUCGAAGGCUGCAUAACCUAUUCCGCAUCAACCUUGCAGUUGGUGCUGGUUGGUUCUAUGGCAAGUGGAGAUUUGCCAAGUCUUUGGAUUCAGGUGUUGAACUUAUUCUCUCUCAGCAUGGAACUCGUCUGCAAAAGGAGUUGGGGGAAAUAAUGUUGAAGAAGUACCAGCAUAAUCCGCCUGUACUGCAGUUCGUCUCCAAAUACUUUUACUCUGAAAAUGUUUAUGAUGAUGAUUCAACAGACAAGCCAAAACCGAGGUGGCGUUUUCGAAGUACCUAUGGGGAAAUUUUUUUCUUCUCACGAGGUAGAAGGUGAUGACUCUUCCAGUAAGAAAUCCCAUUCAGAGAAUACUAAUCUGAGGAAAACUAAUCUUGAGAGAAAGCAAAUUAAUAUGAAUGGUGUUGGUGCUGCUGUUGCUCUAGAGUCAACCGAAGACCCAUUUGAUUGCAUACUCGGACAUCAAGGGAACACCGAAGAGAUUCACCACCUUGAUGCCUCUAGCCCGCUGCCUAAAAGGCGGAGUCAUAGCACCAGACGGUCUCAUAGCAGGCGUCGGAUGCAUCGCCACGAGAACAUGGAAGGUUGAGCUUCUAAUUGACCUACCAUGAUCAAUGCAAGAUUGAACUGAUCUGUCCUUUGGAGAUCAGUCUUGCAUAGCCCUGUUAAAUGUUAUCUGCUGCAAAAUCUAUGCUUUGAAACUGGCAUUACCUAAGAGCUGGUUGUAUAUAGUUAUGGGCUUAUGGCUCAGUGGCUUUUGUGAUCAUUAACUUAUUUAAUAGAAAUUGUUUAUGGAUUAAUUUAAUGGGUAGCCAGCAUAAAUUAUAAUAUAGGAUGCAAUGCAAUGUUCACAUAAUUUAGUUGUCAAUUCGAAGCAUUUUAUAU